Molecule: ribosomal RNA, 600 nt
Filed under: Alteromonas macleodii
Lineage: Bacteria; Pseudomonadati; Pseudomonadota; Gammaproteobacteria; Alteromonadales; Alteromonadaceae
Description: bacterial SSU rRNA
Rfam family: Bacterial small subunit ribosomal RNA
Source: RNAcentral
UGCUCAGAAGAUGACGAGUGGCGGACGGGUGAGUAAUGCUUGGGAACUUGCCUUUGCGAGGGGGAUAACAGUUGGAAACGACUGCUAAUACCGCAUAAUGUCUUCGGACCAAACGGGGCUUCGGCUCCGGCGCAAAGAGAGGCCCAAGUGAGAUUAGCUAGUUGGUAAGGUAACGGCUUACCAAGGCGACGAUCUCUAGCUGUUCUGAGAGGAAGAUCAGCCACACUGGGACUGAGACACGGCCCAGACUCCUACGGGAGGCAGCAGUGGGGAAUAUUGCACAAUGGGGGAAACCCUGAUGCAGCCAUGCCGCGUGUGUGAAGAAGGCCUUCGGGUUGUAAAGCACUUUCAGUUGUGAGGAAAAGUUAGUAGUUAAUACCUGCUAGCCGUGACGUUAACAACAGAAGAAGCACCGGCUAACUCCGUGCCAGCAGCCGCGGUAAUACGGAGGGUGCGAGCGUUAAUCGGAAUUACUGGGCGUAAAGCGCACGCAGGCGGUUUGUUAAGCUAGAUGUGAAAGCCCCGGGCUCAACCUGGGAUGGUCAUUUAGAACUGGCAGACUAGAGUCUUGGAGAGGGGAGUGGAAUUCCAGGUGUAGCG